GUCAACCCAACACCUUCAUCUUCAAAGACCUCGCAACUUGCGAACAUGUUUUCCUGCGAGAUGACACGGUCCGGCGCUCCCUCCAACCUCCUUUCUCAGGACCACACCCCGUCAUCCGUCGUGACGAGAAAACGGUCACUCUGCUGAUUAAGGGAAAGAAAUCACGUGUCUCCAUAGACAGGGUCAAACCGGCUUACCUAAUGGCAAACGAAAUCCCUGCCAUCAAGACUCAGGUUCCUCAGGCACUUCCAGGCCCGGCUGCACCGCAAGUCCAACCCGCCCCGCCCAGUAAAGGAGAAGUCAAGACACCGAAACCUGUAGUUGAGACGCCAAAACCAGCAAACGAAGCAUAUAAGCACAUUGAACAUAUUAAUCACUGAUCAAUUAUAGUCCUUCUCAUAACCAUUGUCUACCAAACAUACCACUAAUGCCAUGAAAUAAGAGAUGGUUGUCCACGAAAUAACUGUGAAGUUGUCUUCAAAAGGAUGACUUUAAUCCACGAUAAAGAAUCGGCCUACUUAUGGAAGGGGGGGGGGGUAACACGGGAUCGGCGUGCCGGAAGUCCGUGAUAACUGCCGUCCCUGCCUUCAAUUUCCCUUUACACUCCGCGUCAUGACAUCUUUGAUACAGUGCAGAUUGUGAUGCAUUAAAUUCGAAGAAAAUGUUAUUUGACACGUGAGUGCCUGGCUUAUGGAGGCAACGGCGACAAUUCUUCACGAAAAUCCAGUACACCUUCUUAUUGUGAGUUGAGAUUGAAGUGAUCAACUUUCUCGCGUCCGCAACCGCCUGACCAGAAUACAGAGAAACAAGUUCCAUGACCCGAUUACGAACACCUUCAUCUGAAAUCAUUUCCUCUAGGGAGCCGAUUGUCAGGUUGGAGGGGGUGUACGGAGUUUUUUUACGUGGGGUCGGGUACAGGACCGUAUUCCUCUGCGUGUCCGUCCAGACGGUUGGGUUUUCGUUUGCGCGCGAGCCUAUCACCGACACCAGAGUUGUAUGGAAAUUGUCCCUUGCUAUUUCCCCUUGGGAAGGAAGGAAUGGGACGCUCACCCUUUCUCCAUUUUCAUUCACCUCCCAUUUCGAGCUGUACACCGUUCGGAAUUGUUGGUGUUGGUGGUGCACGUUCAUGUCGAUAAUAAGCCGGCCGUUUACGGAUAUAAUUGACUUUUGGGCGGGUAACAACCCCUCGAUGAAGCGCUCCGCCAAAAUUCUCGCUUCACGUACGUCAGAUACGGAUAGGCCGUUCGCUACACAGUGGUAACUGGCUUUCGUUCCACGGCUGCUGCGAAACCACUGCACAGUUAACCGCAAUACGGGAAAAGACUUUCGGAGGAACGCUUCAAAGAGGCGCUUCACCCGUCCAAAAGUCAAUUCUUCAGGAACUCCUGCUGCUGGUACAUUCCAUUCAACGUCAAGAUACGGUUUUACGGGUUGUCCUUCGGGAAUGAUUUCGAAAACAGCAGGAAAAGGCCCUUGGAAAAUUUUUGCUCAUCUCCUGUAGUCUCUUGUAUAAAUAACUCGGGUCAGAGUACAAGGCAAAUUUCCUAUGAGCAUCCGGCCCAGGACAAUAUGCUACUGGAAUUGCCUCGCUGUUUCGAGCGACGUGCGCCAUCAUGGAUCUCACUGAUGUGUAAUUACCCCAUCUGAAACAUAAGUAGCGACCCUCGAAAUUAGUUAGAAUGUCUAAAAUGUUAUUAAAUGCUAUCAAUCCCCUCACAAAAACCGUAUCCGUACAUGCCAUGCUACAAAUAUUUAUCACGCUUGAUUACUCCCAAUUAAACUACACGAAUAAUAGUAUGGAAAUAUCGUGGAUGAUAGUCGUAUAAAAUGAUGACCGUCAUGUACAGACAUCGUCAUUGUUAAAAUGCGGGAAUAUGAAUGUAUACAAUGAGCUGUAAGGCUCCACACCUACAAAUAGUUUAAAAUUUGCCGGGUUAUUCAAUGAAAAGGAGAUCAAGAGCUUCAAAUGAUUGUGGAUCUAUGUCGAUGUGCGCUUUUAGGGUGCCGUUUGAGAUGAGAAGUGUAAUCAUCUGGAGAAUUAGCUGGAUGUCAUAAUGUCUGAAAAUUGACCUUUCCGGAUAAUCCUCCAGGUGAUUACGCUUCGCGAAAUCGCAGGAUGCCGCCGAGAGGAAUUUGGCUAGUGUGAGGAGGCACGAUUUCCUUUUACCCCGGAUGUGCGAUGUUCGCCGGAUUAACAGUGCCGGACUGGCGUAAAAAAAGUUAGGCAGCUACUAGGAUUUUGGGGCCCCUAUGGGGGGUCUGGGGGGUCGCCCCCCAGGGAUGGAGGGGGGUCGGGGGGUCCUCCCCGAAAAUUUUGAAAAUUUAACCCCUGAAAAUAGAAGUUUUAGGCUCUUUUCUCAUUGAAUUUUGAUAAAUAGCGCCUCCGAAAAUGUCACCUAUUUUUAGAUAUUUUUUGUAAAAUUCGGCGAUGAAUCUGCAAAUCACAAGGCUAAAGACAAAAAUGACAUAUGUUAUCAAAUUGAAUUUAUAGUUUAAUUCAUUGUUUGUUGUAAUUUUAUUCAUAGUUCAAAAAAAAAUACAUAUAUAACUUGGUGGCCAAGCCAGAGUGACCAUUAAACAAAAAAUGUGUUUUUCUCACAUGUGUGAUGUGAGUGUGGCAUGAAAGUAUGUUCUGACAUUCGAGUAAACACCGUCUUUAAACUGAGUUUAUCGUUAUCCCAAGUGAAGAAAGAAGGAAUAAACUCACACUAUUAAUAACCGCUGUAACAGUUUACUGGUCGCAGCAACCAAAUCAAUACAAUAAUUUUUGUCAAUAAGUUGCGUCAUAUCGCGCUCAACAAACAGCAUCAUGAGAGGUGCCAAAAGAUUUUGGCCUAGAUGUGACCGCAGUCUAUCCCUUAAAAUUUUAAGCUUAAAAAAAACUCUUUCGCAAGUCACUUGCGUACAAGGUAACGAAAGCACAUAUUUGUAAGCUAUAUACAAAUUAUUUGAAAGGCUCGUUUGACUUGUUAAUUCAUAUAAUAUUUUGAAUGCACAAUGGAUACAAUGACCCUCGGCCUCAAGUUCUUUUCUUUUAAGGGAUCAGGCUGCGGCCUAGACUUCACUUCUUCUGUUUCGUUCUCCUCUUCGUCUAAUUCUAAAUCAUCAUCAUUAUCAUUUAACCAGAUCAUUAGCUCCUCCACACCACUGGAUGACUUUGGAAUUGAGUCACUGAAACUUGUUGGUGUCUUGCUCUUCAAACUGUCGUAGAGACCAGCAAACUGUUUCAUUUCUGGAGUAAGAGUAUUCUGGUCAACACCAACCAGUUUACUCAAUUCUUUAAAGUGUCUGGAGGAAAUGUAAAACCAGGGGUUUGAAUAGUUUUGAAAUUUUUGGGGUUAAGCCACGAAAUGUCGGACAAGAACUCUUUAUUGGGCACAAACCUUCUUUCUAAACUACCUAAAACAGCAUCGUAGACCUCGAAAAACUUUUUUCGCUGUGACUCUAAAAUACUUAAAUUCCGCGCCUCAUCGCGCGCUUUUUCAUCAAAAAAUUUGUUUUUUAAUGGGACACGUUUUUGCGGAAAGUCUUCUUCCAGAAAAAUGAUUUUAUUUUUGGAAAAGCCUUCAUUUAUUUUUUUUUGCAAAGUUCUUGGCUUUAUCAUAAAGUAUUUCAAAAUACUCGUCGUUUCGACGGGCUUUUAAUUGACUUAUAAGAUGAUCUACGACAUUCCAAGCUUGUAAGUAAUCCAAAUUCUUAGACUGGAGGAAAGUGGAGACCGGCGAAGUCAUUUCAAACAAGUCCAAAAUUACUAUUGCUGAAAAAAUAUGUUGAAAUUUGCUCCAGUUACUUAAUAAAUUACGUGCUUUAAAUUUUGCGGUUCCAUCAAAAUUACUGUCUAUAACAUCUAAAAGAAAUACAAAAAUGUAACAAACUUUGAGGACUCAAAGUCAUCAUCGAUGUUUCCAAACAGAGCUUUUAUAGCUUUG
RNAcentral lists this long non-coding RNA (3929 nucleotides) under Bemisia tabaci. Its description in RNAcentral is "lncRNA ENSSSA2NGG007310". Lineage: Eukaryota; Metazoa; Arthropoda; Insecta; Hemiptera; Aleyrodidae. The record is from RNAcentral.